This 63-nucleotide transfer RNA is filed under the name Beringiana fukuharai. RNAcentral's name for it is "tRNA-Val". Lineage: Eukaryota; Metazoa; Mollusca; Bivalvia; Unionida; Unionidae. The record is from RNAcentral.
CAAGAAGUAGUAUAUAAAUUACAUCUCGCUUACACCGAAGUAAAGGCCUUAAGCCCUUUUUGA